This 211-nucleotide long non-coding RNA is filed under the name Lathyrus oleraceus (garden pea). Its description in RNAcentral is "Pisum sativum (pea) long non-coding RNA (PSAT_LNC017511)". The record is from RNAcentral. Lineage: Eukaryota; Viridiplantae; Streptophyta; Magnoliopsida; Fabales; Fabaceae.
AGAACCCUUCCAUUAAAGCUCUAAAUCCCUAAAGUUUAAGUUAGAGUUUCAUACUGAAACUCUAAUCUAGACGAGCUAAACCCCAAAUACAGUAUUGAUAAACAAUCCAAGACACAUAGAAAAUAAGAAAGCUGAUGUUUGAAGAGGGAAAGUGAACUUAUCUUUAGUCGUCGGUAGAUUUCUUCACGCCUUGACCAAUCCAGUACACUUU